Molecule: ribosomal RNA, 261 nt
Filed under: uncultured archaeon
Lineage: Archaea
Description: partial 16S ribosomal RNA
Rfam family: Archaeal small subunit ribosomal RNA
Source: RNAcentral
AGGGUGUAAACGCUGCAGACUUGGUGUUGGGAACCCUUCGGGGGUGCUCAGUGCCGGAGAGAAGUUGUUAAGUCUGCUACUUGGGGAGUACGUCCGCAAGGAUGAAACUUAAAGGAAUUGGCGGGGGAGCACCGCAACGGGAGGAGCGUGCGGUUUAAUUGGAUUCAACGCCGGACAUCUCACCGGAUAAGACAGCUGAAUGAUUGUCAAUCUGAAGGUUUUACAUGACUAGCUGAGAGGUGGUGCAUGGCGUCAGUGACU